AGUACAAAUAGCCAAAACCUGGAUAUUUUAGGCAAUAUUAAAAUACUGGAUAAAAUCCCGGGAGUUAGCCCAUUUACUGAUUCCCUGAUCAGUGCCCUGACUGAAAAAAGGAAAAAUGAAAGUGUUGUCAAGGAGAAAAUGUCUCUCACGUUUGCUUACAGAUGACAGGAGGUAACGUUAAUGAACCAGGAGCUCAGUGUCAGGAAUUUCAGGGCGAGGUGGCCUGCGCUUUUCAGACAUUACGAGAUCAAUGCAGAGCUACAUAGGCUUAUGGAUGUUCCACUGGAAGACAUGUUCUUUGCACAGUUGGAUGUAUACAUGAGUCAACUAAUCAGAGUAAUCCGUUCCAAAGGAGGAGCAACCCCUGAGAAGACUGCUGCAAUUUUUCACAUAUUGGAUCAGACUGAAAACAUUCACGUGAAAAGAGAGUGUGUCCUGAAGGCCCUCAUCGUUUUCCUGGGGGGAAAUCCUUAAGGAGUAUCUUGAGAACCAGCAGAUGAUUGCGAGGGUGAGCUGGAGCAGCUCACCAUGGCGGUGUAUGUUAUUCGGAAGGAGGAGGGAGAACAUCACGAACCACCGGCUGACAUGGGUGUCGUCAUCAAGGGUGUUAAAGUUCUUAAUGAACUGUCUUCGUCCACAUCAGCUUGUGCCUUGCUUCACCGGAAUGAUAUACAUCAUCAAUCUGGCUUAUCAAAAACCACUUUUUACAUUCGAGGUAUUCCAGAAAGUUCUCUUGCAGCUCGAUCAGCACAAGAUGACACCAAAAUUUCAAAGUCUUUUCGGGAGACUACAGUUAACUUGCAGUAAUGUUUGAAUGUGCAUGUGUUUGAAACAAUGUCUCUAUUUUAGUUGAAUGGCAUGUAUUCUUAUUGUAAGACUAUCUAUUUGUUCAUUCAUAUGUCUAGUGUGUAGCUGUUCAAAUCUGUAGUUGAUUUGUUCCUUUUACAUUGGUGAAAGGCUAAUUACCUAUAACUCUAAGCUGUCAAAACAUUUUCCAUGAGCUGUUUAAGGUUUUAUAUAUAUGUAUAUGUAUGUGUG
Long non-coding RNA from Carassius auratus (goldfish), 1038 nucleotides. RefSeq lists it as uncharacterized. NCBI's taxonomy places the organism in Eukaryota, Metazoa, Chordata, Actinopteri, Cypriniformes, Cyprinidae. The record is from RefSeq and is a predicted model, not a curated record. The transcript has 4 exons.